Molecule: long non-coding RNA, 2154 nt
Filed under: Anas platyrhynchos platyrhynchos (common mallard)
Lineage: Eukaryota; Metazoa; Chordata; Aves; Anseriformes; Anatidae
Description: lncRNA (ENSAPLG00000028181.1)
Source: RNAcentral
UUUUAGAAGCCUACAGAUGGAAAGAGCGGCUUUCUAAAUAUACUGGAAACAAACUAGAGCUGAGUUGGUGACGGCGUUUGCUGAGGAGCGUUUGGAGCCUGCAGAGAGGGACCUGAACCCGGCAAAGCCUCUGUGGGGUCAGAUCCUCUCCCAAGAGCCGGGCGCUGUUCUCGUUGCAGUUAACCACAAGGUAGGGUUUCAAGUGACCGACCUGCUGGUCCUUGUGCUUAGCUUGGGGAUUUCAUGCAUGAGUUUGGCUAAAUCACCACAGCCCCCCUACUCUGCAGCCCUGAGUGUGAUUCCCUGGUGCUCUGUGAGCACCCAGCUACCGGCUAACCACCAGGCUGGCCUCAACUGGCUCUUCUUUGUGCUCCUGCAGCACAGAGAAUGAAUCUCGUGCAGGAAGUUCUCUGGAAACCAAGGCAGUUUUGUUUUGACACCGCUCUGGGAGUACAAGACAAGAAGCGGGCAGCAGGAGCUGGGCGCAAUGGGACUUUCCUUUCCCUGGGCCUUGUGGCAUGGAGGGGUGAGCGCUGAGGAGCCUGGUGGGGUCCCCACAUCCCCAGCCACCUUCCUCGGCCCUUCCUCGCCUCAGGCCCGAAUGGAGGCAGGGGCAGGGCUGGAAGAGGAGGACGAGAUACGAGGUGUGGGGGGGGGGGCAGCCCCACCUCGGGCUGCGUGACGCGGGUUGCCAUGGCCACCCCGUUUACGCUACAAGGCCCGGCGGGGGCGGGCAGGCGGGCGGGGCCGCUUCAGCACCAGGGCGGCCGCGGACAGCAGCGGCCCCGGCUCGGCGGCGCCUCUCCCGCUGCGGGCUGCGCGGCUGCGGCGCCGGGGCCCUGCUCCGAGCCGGCUCCGGAGGUGGGGGGGGAGCCCUCACGGUCAGUCCCGGUCCCGGUUCUCAGCCCCGACACCGCCCGGCAGCACGGCCCCGGAGAACCAGGGGUACCGGGAGGUACCGGGGGGUACCCGGGGGGGCUCCUCCGGGCGGUGGCGGCGCCGGGAAAGUUUGGGAAGCUCGGAGCUCGGAGCCCGGAGUGGGGCCUCGGUGAGGACACGGCGAGUUUGGUCGGCUUUUGCUUUCCCUGGGAGGUUCACGUUUUUAUCAGUGACAAGAUGACAAUUCGUAUUUUUACCAAAGGAUCCAGUGACUCAUCCUAUUAAACUGCUGGGAUACGUGCUUGCCAAUUGUCCUGCCACGGUAAGUCCAUGGGAUUUUGCAUUUUCUCUGGACAUAUUAUUCACGAAUUAGUCCACAGCAUUCAUUCGGUAUUACAAAUAGUAUUUACCUGAAGAUGUAACUUCUCAGUGAUGACCAGAGCCCAAAGUAGUCUAAAGAUUGCAUAUCACAGCUAUUUUGUUUAAGUUAUUACAAGGUUAGCACAAGUAGAAGAUUGACCAUACUCAUACCAUACCAUAUACAAGGCUGAACCUGAAGGCCAUGUAAGAAGCACCCUCAUGUUGUGAGAAGUGAUAAAAAAGCACAAUGUGGCUGGCCUUGAAAACGCUACCCUGUGAGAUCCACAUGCAGCUGAUAAUGAAUGUACUGUGAGUCAUGAUGGAAAACUUCAACAUCCAAAAAAAAAAACCAUCUCCAGGAUAACAUAACAUGGAUUAUGCAUUAGUAUCAGUUGCCCAAAGUAAACUCCUUAUUUAUUUGGUCCCUCCUGAGAACUGCCAUGCUAUUGAGCCAAUAUCCUGCAACAUUUCAGCAGAUGUCUAGGCUGCUCAGUUCCUUUUCGCAGCACUGUGCUACAGGAGAGUAUGGCUGCCCUCGUGCUAUACUGUUCUGCAAAUCCAUUCAAUCUGGGAGAAGAGAUGAUGCAGGCUGGUACACAACUGUGUUGUUUUUCCUUGUUCCUUGGUUGGGUUAGAGAAAAGGUAGGAAACAUUUUAGUUCAUAACGUCUCUGCUUCUCUUCUACAUGCUUGUUUUGCCCUUGAAGGUGAUGUUCUGUGGCACGGUCCAAGCAAACCACUCUCUGUUGAAGCCUGUUUUGCACACCAUCCAGCCUUAUCUCAUCAGAGAAGAGCAUAUGGCUUUGAGUUAUUAUUUGUUAUUUCAGGGUAACUAGAUGGUAACUGUACUGAAAACUUAUGGCAAAUCAUGCGUUAUCUCACAAUAACAGGAUAAAUAAACAGUAUCUUCACUGCA